AGCUCCAAUAGCGUAUAUCAAAGUUGUUGUGGUUAAUCAGCUCGUAGUUGGAUUCUUGCCGAGGACGAGUGGCACGCCCUGCACGUGAGCAUCUGGGACGACCUGAACAUCUUCUUGGAGAACAAGUCUGCACUUGACGGUGUGGUGCGCUAUCCAGGAUCUCUACGUUGAGGAACUUAGAGUGCUUCAAGCAGGCCCACGCCUUGAAUACAUUAGCUUGGAAUCAUGAGAUAUGACCUUGUUUCUCGGUUGUUGGUUUCUAGAGCCGAGAUAAUGAUUAUCAGGGAUAGUUGAGGGCGUUCGUGUUUAGCUGUGAGAGGUGUAAUUCUUGGAUUUGUUAAAGACGGACUACUGCGAACACAUGUGCCAAGGAUGAUU
Molecule: ribosomal RNA, 378 nt
Filed under: uncultured eukaryote
Lineage: Eukaryota
Description: SSU rRNA
Rfam family: Eukaryotic small subunit ribosomal RNA
Source: RNAcentral